GCCUCCGUAGCCUAGUGGUCAGCGCAACGGGCCACUAACCCAGAGGUCCCGGGACCGAACCCCGGCCGAGGUG
This 73-nucleotide transfer RNA is filed under the name Trialeurodes vaporariorum (greenhouse whitefly). RNAcentral describes it as "tRNA-Ser for anticodon ACU". It matches the Rfam family "tRNA". From Rfam's summary of the family: Transfer RNA (tRNA) molecules are approximately 80 nucleotides in length. Their secondary structure includes four short double-helical elements and three loops (D, anti-codon, and T loops). The record is from RNAcentral. Lineage: Eukaryota; Metazoa; Arthropoda; Insecta; Hemiptera; Aleyrodidae.